UGAGGAAUAUUGGUCAAUGGACGAGAGUCUGAACCAGCCAAGUAGCGUGAAGGAUGACUGCCCUACGGGUUGUAAACUUCUUUUAUAAAGGAAUAAAGUGAGGCACGUGUGCCUUUUUGUAUGUACUUUAUGAAUAAGGAUCGGCUAACUCCGUGCCAGCAGCCGCGGUAAUACGGAGGAUCCGAGCGUUAUCCGGAUUUAUUGGGUUUAAAGGGAGCGUAGAUGGAUGUUUAAGUCAGUUGUGAAAGUUUGCGGCUCAACCGUAAAAUUGCAGUUGAUACUGGAUAUCUUGAGUGCAGUUGAGGCAGGCGGAAUUCGUGGUGUAGCGGUGAAAUGCUUAGAUAUCACGAAGAACUCCGAUUGCGAAGGCAGCCUGCUAAGCUGCAACUGACAUUGAGGCUCGAAAGUGUGGGUAUCAAACAGG
This 424-nucleotide ribosomal RNA is filed under the name uncultured bacterium. Its description in RNAcentral is "bacterial SSU rRNA". It matches the Rfam family "Bacterial small subunit ribosomal RNA", at positions 355 to 776 of the family's 1533-position model. The record is from RNAcentral.